GCGGGAAGAGCUCAAAUUUUAAAUCUGGUAGCCUUCGGUUGCCCGAGUUGUAAUCUAGAGAAGUGUUUUCCGUGCCGGCCCAUGUACAAGUCCCUUGGAACAGGGCGUCAUAGAGGGUGAGAAUCCCGUCCUUGACAUGGACCCCCGGUGCUUUGUGAUACACUUUCAACGAGUCGAGUUGUUUGGGAAUGCAGCUCAAAAUGGGUGGUGAAUUCCAUCUAAAGCUAAAUAUUGGCGAGAGACCGAUAGCGAACAAGUACCGUGAGGGAAAGAUGAAAAGCACUUUGGAAAGAGAGUUAAACAGUACGUGAAAUUGUUGAAAGGGAAACGAUUGAAGUCAGUCAUGCUCUUUGGUAUUUAUAUCAUUGAGUGGGGUCAACAUCAGUUUUGAUCGAUGGAUAAAGGCACUAGGAAGGUAGCACUCUCGGGUGAACUUAUAGCCUAGCGUCAUAUACAUUGAUUGGGACUGAGGAACGCAGCAUGCCUUUAUGGCCGGGAUUCGUCCACGUACAUGCUUAGGAUGUUGACAUAAUGGCUUUAAACGACCCGUCUUGAACACCG
This 561-nucleotide ribosomal RNA is filed under the name Naganishia albidosimilis. RNAcentral describes it as "LSU rRNA". It matches the Rfam family "Eukaryotic large subunit ribosomal RNA", at positions 98 to 664 of the family's 3401-position model. Lineage: Eukaryota; Fungi; Basidiomycota; Tremellomycetes; Filobasidiales; Filobasidiaceae. The record is from RNAcentral.